CCAGACGAACGCUGGCGGCGUGCUUAACACAUGCAAGUCGAACGAGAAUCUGUGGAUCGAGGAUUCGUCCAAGUGAAGCAGAGGACAGUGGCGGACGGGUGAGUAACGCGUGAGGAACCUGCCUUUCAGAGGGGGACAACAGUUGGAAACGACUGCUAAUACCGCAUAAGCGCACAGCUUCGCAUGAAGCAGUGUGAAAAACUCCGGUGGUACAAGAUGGACCCGCGUCUGAUUAGCUGGUUGGUGAGGUAACGGCCCACCAAGGCGACGAUCAGUAGCCGGCCUGAGAGGGUGAACGGCCACAUUGGGACUGAGACACGGCCCAAACUCCUACGGGAGGCAGCAGUGGAGAAUAUUGCACAAUGGGGGAAACCCUGAUGCAGCAACGCCGCGUGAGUGAAGAAGUAUUUCGGUAUGUAAAGCUCUAUCAGCAGGAAAGAAAAUGACGGUACCUGACUAAGAAGCCCCGGCUAACUACGUGCCAGCAGCCGCGGUAAUACGUAGGGGGCAAGCGUUAUCCGGAUUUACUGGGUGUAAAGGGAGCGUAGACGGUUUUGCAAGUCUGAAGUGAAAGCCCGGGGCUUAACCCCGGGACUGCUUUGGAAACUGUAGGACUAGAGUGCAGGAGAGGUAAGUGGAAUUCCUAGUGUAGCGGUGAAAUGCGUAGAUAUUAGGAGGAACACCAGUGGCGAAGGCGGCUUACUGGACUGUAACUGACGUUGAGGCUCGAAAGCGUGGGGAGCAAACAGGAUUAGAUACCCUGGUAGUCCACGCCGUAAACGAUGAUUACUAGGUGUUGGUGGGUAUGACCC
This 812-nucleotide ribosomal RNA is filed under the name uncultured bacterium. Its description in RNAcentral is "bacterial SSU rRNA". It matches the Rfam family "Bacterial small subunit ribosomal RNA", at positions 25 to 838 of the family's 1533-position model. The record is from RNAcentral.